AUGAGGAGUUGGUUAUUUCUGAACUGUACGGGUGGCAAAGAGCAAAUUUUAUUUUACCGGACUAGUGAUUUUGUUGCUUCUAAAUGUACUGUUAAAAGACUGGGUUAGAAAUAAAAACUAGUCGGUGGCAAAGGAUUGGAUUAGGUUAGCAAUUGCCAACACAAUAUAGUUACGAUGCAUGAAUUAUUUAACAAAAUGAAGUAGCAAACCUAGGAUUUCUGCUUCAGAUUCUCUUACUUCACGCUAAGGAAAGCCCAAAGGAGGGGGUGUCAUGCAGGAGCCUUUACUGAGGUUAUCUUGUCUUUUAGCAGCUGCUAGUUGUUUCAAGUCUUUUCCCAGUUCUUUUAGCUUCCUCCUAAUGCACCAGUGUCCCUCUCUAAAUUAGCAGCUGUGGGAUGAGCUGUGCCUAAUGGAAGCCAUAUGUAGGAAUUAACUGAUUGGAUAAGAAGUCAGGUUCCUUCCCCCCUCCCCCAGUACAUGCAGGGGAGAGGAAGCUACUGCUAUGACCCUAUUCUACCUCUUUCAAGAUCAGCAGAUUCUUUACCGUAAAGGCUUGUCUGCACAUUAUCAAGACCCAUGUCAGAUGGGGAACUGAGGCACACGGGCUAAGUGACCUAUUCAAAGUCCAUGGCAGAGCAGAGAUUUGAGCCCAGGACUCCCAAGUGCUAGGCUAGUACACUAACCACUGAAUUUUAAAUUUGGGUUUCACAAGAAUUUUCAACUACUCUUGGUAAGUCUUAUCUAGUCAUGUAACUGAGACAAUCCCACAUUGCCAGGUGCAGCUAAGCAAAACUGCUUUGAUUUUGGAGAUCUAACCACAAGACACAAGGAAAACCGAACUAACAAAUGUUUUCUACUGACCUGCAAGGACAAAUAAAUGCGGAAAUUGUAGACUGUUCAGAAAUUCUUCAAUCAGCAACAGAGAUCAAACUUGCUGAAUAAAUUAUUGGUUCCUAAUUAUAUUCUUGGUUCUAGAAAUCUGAUUGGCCUUGAGAAAGAGGGGUCGAGGUUUAAUACUGAAAGCCCCACAUCCAUAAUGUAGACUAGUAUAUUGGAGUAGAAGGAAAUUUCUAUUUCAGCCCAAUUCAGCCUUUCUUUGAACAAAGAGAGACCAUACUAACCAGGUCCUUGAAGAAAAUGACACAACCCUUAGCUCACCUCAGUGGGUACGUCUGUGCUGCCCCUGGGAUGGAGCCUCCUAGCCCUGCUAAAUAUACGCCCGGUAGCCAGGGCUCAAGCUACUGCGCUAAAAAUAGCACAGUGGAUCUUGCCACUCAGGUGGCAGCUCUGGCUCUCAAACCCACUUGCCCGUCUGGGUCUGAG
This is a long non-coding RNA of Dermochelys coriacea (leatherback sea turtle), 1323 nucleotides long. RefSeq lists it as uncharacterized. The transcript is spliced from 3 exons. The record is from RefSeq and is a predicted model, not a curated record. NCBI's taxonomy places the organism in Eukaryota, Metazoa, Chordata, Testudines, Dermochelyidae.